AGAGUGUCUUUUCAUCUCAAAGAGAACAGAACACUGGAGUGCAGUCUCCAAGCCUGCAAGCAUGUCUGUAUUCUGUGACCUAUGUGGAAGUUGUCCUCAGCAAUGGCCCUGCUGUCUGUUUUCAGAGAGUAACCUUCUCUCUUGUCCUUGUAAUGUUUCGCCAGCAAAACACACUCGGACAACCAGAUCCUCCUACGGCAAAGCUUUAUUGCUUACUUAUCAGGAAGACCUCGAAUACAGGAAACUCAGUAUUUAUAACCCACAAAGAGCGGUUGGAGACCUGUCAGCUCCUGAUGAGCUGCUCACUAUCAGCCCAGAUGACUGCCCUGGGACAGGCAGGGCACAAGGCAUGGAAAAAUACCCCAGCAUAUGCGCAGACUACUUGUUUACUAGUUAGAACACCGGAUAUCAGCGCCAUCUUGUAAUGGCGAUUGCAAGAGCGGCUCCUCACACUUCUCUCCUAGCAUCAAUCUGCAUUGUAUAAGGAUCCCCAUGGGAUCUUUUUGGCCAACAAUUCAACUGAGUAUAGCCCAGUCCCUUCCUACUGAAGCCCUGCCUGGUCAUGAUAGAUGGCCAGUUCAGUCUCUAUAUUCUCUGUUACUAGGAGUCCUCACUAAGGAUGCAGUGACUUAUGAUGAUGUGCGUGUGAACUUCACUGAGGAAGAGUGGGAUUUGCUGGAUCCUUCCCAGAAAAGUCUCUAUGAAGAGGUGAUGCUGGAGACCUACCAGAACAUCACUGCUAUAGGCUACAAUUGGGAAGACCAUCAUAUUGAAGAACAUUGUCAAAGUUCUAGAAGACAUGAAAGGAAUGAAAGAAGUCGUAUUGGAGAGAAACCCUAUGAAUGUUAUCAAUGUGGUAAAGCCUUUGCACGUCACAAUCAUCUCCAAAUACAUAAAAGAAUACAUACUGGAGAGAAACCUUAUGAAUGUAAUCAAUGUGGUAAAGCCUUUGCAUGUCACAGUCGUCUCCAAAGACAUAAAAGAACACAUACUGGAGAGAAACCUUAUGAAUGUAAUCAAUGUGGCAAAGCUUUUGCACGUCACAGUCAUCUCCAAAGACACGAAAAAACACAUAAUGCAGAGAAAUCAUAUGAAUGUAAUCAAUGUGGUAAAGCCUUUUCACAACAGAAUAAUCUCCAAUAUCAUAAAAGAACGCAUACUGGAGAGAAACCUUAUCAGUGUAAUCAAUGUGGUAAAGCUUUUGCAUUUCACAAUAGUCUCCAGUAUCAUAAAAGAACACAUACUGGAGAGAAACCUUAUGAAUGUAAUCAAUGUGGUAAAGCUUUUGCAUUUCAGUAUAGUCUCCAAAAACAUACAAGAAUACAUACUGGAGAGAAACCUUAUCAAUGUGAUCAAUGUGGUAAAGCGUUUUCACAUGUGAUUCGUCUUCAAUAUCAUAAAAGAACACAUACUGGAGAGAAACCUUAUGAGUGUAAUCAAUGCGGUAAAGCCUUUGCAUUUCACAAUAGUCUCCAAAAACAUAAAAGAACACAUACUGGAGAGAAACCGUAUCAAUGUAAUCAAUGUGGUAAAGCAUUUUCACAACAGAGUAGUCUCCAAUAUCAUAAAAGAA
This 1573-nucleotide long non-coding RNA is filed under the name Mus musculus (house mouse). Its description in RNAcentral is "RIKEN cDNA E430024I08 gene". The record is from RNAcentral. Lineage: Eukaryota; Metazoa; Chordata; Mammalia; Rodentia; Muridae.